AGAGAGAGAGAGACAGAGACACACAGAGGUCUCAGAAUGACGUUCCCCGGGACUGUAAAAACGGCCCUCAGAGAAAGCAGUGCGAAAGUGACGGCCAAAGAAAAACAGAACAAACGAAGAGUGGGAACAACACAGUGGUGAUGUGACGGCCUUCCCUGGACGAUGCUGGGUCAAUUGUGCGCCGUCCUAUGGGACUCCCAAUCACGGCCAGAUGUGAUACAGCCUGGAUUUGAACCUGCGUUAGAAGUUCAAAACAAUAUUGGAGCCAGGCCCUGAACACGACAACACCUCUACUGUGACCCAUCUAGCUCUACACAGAGAUGGAUGGCUCCAGGAUUAGGCCCUGAUAUGGCCUAAUGGGAAUGGGAAUCCAAAAAGGACGCCAGGUCUCAGACACAUCCAUCUGUUAUUGUGCAGGAGUUUGGCGUGGCUUUUGUCUAUUUUCAGAAACUGCUCUGUACUCCAGUAUUUUCACUCUCUCACUUUUGUACAUUUCAGCGACCAUGUGCUAUCUCUCUCUAUGUCUUUCUCCCUUCUCUCUCUCUUUUUCACUCUCUCUCUCCCUCUAUCAUAAGUACUUAGCUUUUUUAAUCUGGUGUACUCUCUCUUUCUCCCUCCCUCCUUGUGUGCUUAACUCUUCUGUUAAUUCUCGCUUGCUAUCUCCCCCCUCUAUCUCAUUUUGCUGUCCUGUUCCUCUCAUCUUCCCUCCCUCUCUGUGUGCCGUGUUGACCUGUGACCUGCUGUUGACCCGCAGUGACCUUUCAGUAUGGAGGCUGCUGAGUAGGCUGCUGCUCGCCAUAGAGUCAUGGCUCAUGUUUGCAUUCCUGACAUGGCUGCAUUCUCACUGUGAUCCCCCCACUACCUGACAGAGCUCGGUUUAUGUGCUAGCCUCCAGUGCAGUGUCUGUCAAGUACUCCGCUGAAGCUGUUAACAACAUUCAAAGUGGUAUUGAACUCAAUGCCUUGUCGUAUAUUCACAGGCAAUUUGACAAGGGACUUUUGGUAUUAACCCGAGGUUGCAUAAGAAACGACAUUAGUGCCACCGGAUUUAAAGGCGAUCUCUGACAUAUGUGACCGGUUUCAGGAAACUAGGCGUAUGUCGUGGGUCAGUACUUCACAGGAGAGCAGAAAUGCUGGAGAGCAGAAAUGCCUGGCAGAAAUGCCUUCUCUUAACAUGUGAACUUCCAUGUGCCUUAAUAACAAACUUAUAUACCAUCUGUAAAUACGCAUACAAUUUUUUGAUUAUGAGCCUAGUUGGUUUAGCCACAUAAAAAGACAGAAACCUUCCCACUAGCCAUGAUUGGCUGAGAUAAUGAGUGUGCUGGACAUGCCGAGAUAUGAGUUGUAAUUGGUCUGCCAUAUAGCACGCUUCUGUCUAUUUGAGCUGGUCAGUAUGUGUAGGUAAUCCUGUCUAACACAGCUUUUUUUUGUCAAAUGUAUCUCGUAAAACUGCAUGUGUGUUGCUCUCUACUUUCUGGAGGACCGGGUUUUGAAAUCAGUGGAAUUCGAGUAUGACAGCUAAGGAGAUGGGGAUGUCACGU
This is a long non-coding RNA of Salvelinus namaycush (lake trout), 1540 nucleotides long. RefSeq lists it as uncharacterized. The record is from RefSeq and is a predicted model, not a curated record. NCBI's taxonomy places the organism in Eukaryota, Metazoa, Chordata, Actinopteri, Salmoniformes, Salmonidae. The transcript has 3 exons.